This is a non-coding RNA of Arabidopsis thaliana (thale cress), 1118 nucleotides long. The record is from RefSeq. NCBI's taxonomy places the organism in Eukaryota, Viridiplantae, Streptophyta, Magnoliopsida, Brassicales, Brassicaceae.
AUUAAUUUUUUUUUGGUCACAUUGAAUCUAAGUAGUUAUGCUACUCUAAAAAUGAAAUCCAAGCCACACAAGCUCAAACGGUGUCAUACAAAAAUAAAUAUAUUUACUUAGAUAUGUUUCAUCAUGUGAUUUCAUGUGAAGGGAUACUUAGUGAUACUUCAAACUUAAAGAAAAACACAAGUUUCAAGAUUAACAGAAACAACAAGAGCAAAGCAGUCGAAUCCCAGCUUGGAUCCAACUCAAUAAAUUCCAAUAAGUUUCUUAAUUAGCAUUAUUUAUGUGGUUUAUUUAUAGUCUUAUAUGCUUAGUAACUGCUAUUAGAAUGGUUUUGUAUCAAGAUGGAGAACUCUUAAGAUGAAAAUAGCUAAACUUAGGAAAGUGAUUCAAUUGCCUCGUAAAAACGAAGGAUCAGAUAGACGAUUCUUAAGCGGAAAAGAACCAACUUUAAGAAAGCCAUCCAGUCUCCUCGAAAGAAGAAGGGCCAGAUCUUGAUUUCCAUGGUACAAUACUAACGAAAUCAGGGAUCAGAUUCUUCUUCUUGGAAAGUCUCGUGCAUAUGAGACAACAAAUAUAUUCUUCAGUGCUAAGCAUGUUCCGUGAAGAUUUAAAGAACAAGAGAUGAAAACCAGUCAGCCUCUAGAGUGGAUCCUUAUUCUGUAAAGAACAAAGGUCCUUGCCAAGAGCAAAUGAGAGACGAUUUUGCAGCAAGAGCAUAUGAGAGGUCAGGUAAAGUAAAGUUUCCUCUAUUCUCAUGUGUAUAUACUCAAUUCUCAUGUAUUCUUCCCUACAUGUUAUUUGCAUUUGAUGAGCCUUGGUGGCUUGGCUUGUUUUGGUUCCUCAAACUAUCUAGAAACACACAACUUUACGAAUACAUAUACAUGCAAUCACCUAAACUCAAAACACACCGAAAGACAACAAAAUUCAAACAUAAACACGUGAAACUGAAACACGAUGCAAAAAAAAACACGUCACGCAGAUAAACUCAAAGCACCCUCGAACACAACACAACAUAACACAAUAAUAAAAUUCAACACAAUACUAGACACAGGAAAAAAAAAAUUCAAUCUUUCUUUAUUGGCAAGAACAAUGCCAUUAUGUUGCCAAGUCAAUAUCUUGUG